AGACCCGAAACCCGGUGAUCUAGCCAUGGGCAGGUUGAAGGUUGGGUAACACUAACUGGAGGACCGAACCGACUAAUGUUGAAAAAUUAGCGGAUGACCUGUGGCUGGGGGUGAAAGGCCAAUCAAACCGGGAGAUAGCUGGUUCUCCCCGAAAGCUAUUUAGGUAGCGCCUCGUGAAUUCAUCUCCGGGGGUAGAGCACUGUUUCGGCUAGGGGGUCAUCCCGACUUACCAACCCGAUGCAAACUGCGAAUACCGGAGAAUGUUAUCACGGGAGACACACGGCGGGUGCUAACGUCCGUCGUGAAGAGGGAAACAACCCAGACCGCCAGCUAAGGUCCCAAAGUCAUGGUUAAGUGGGAAACGAUGUGGGAAGGCCCAGACAGCCAGGAUGUUGGCUUAGAAGCAGCCAUCAUUUAAAGAAAGCGUAAUAGCUCACUGGUCGAGUCGGCCUGCGCGGAAGAUGUAACGGGGCUAAACCAUGCACCGAAGCUGCGGCAGCGACACUGUGUGUUGUUGGGUAGGGGAGCGUUCUGUAAGCCUGUGAAGGUGGCCUGUGAGGGUUGCUGGAGGUAUCAGAAGUGCGAAUGCUGACAUAAGUAACGAUAAAGCGGGUGAAAAGCCCGCUCGCCGGAAGACCAAGGGUUCCUGUCCAACGUUAAUCGGGGCAGGGUGAGUCGACCCCUAAGGCGAGGCCGAAAGGCGUAGUCGAUGGGAAACGGGUUAAUAUUCCCGUACUUGGUGUUACUGCGAAGGGGGGACGGAGAAGGCUAUGUUGGCCGGGCGACGGUUGUCCCGGUUUAAGCGUGUAGGUGUGUGUUCCAGGUAAAUCCGGUUCACUUUAACACUGAGGCGUGACGACGAGGCACUACGGUGCUGAAGCAACAAAUGCCCUGCUUCCAGGAAAAGCCUCUAAGCAUCAGGUAACAUCAAAUCGUACCCCAAACCGACACAGGUGGUCAGGUAGAGAAUACCAAGGCGCUUGAGAGAACUCGGGUGAAGGAACUAGGCAAAAUGGUGCCGUAACUUCGGGAGAAGGCACGCUGACAC
Molecule: ribosomal RNA, 1048 nt
Filed under: Salmonella enterica
Lineage: Bacteria; Pseudomonadati; Pseudomonadota; Gammaproteobacteria; Enterobacterales; Enterobacteriaceae
Description: partial 23S ribosomal RNA
Rfam family: Bacterial large subunit ribosomal RNA
Source: RNAcentral